CUUCAGUGAUGAUACGAUGACGAGUCAGAAUAGGACUCAGUCUGGUUCUGAUGGGUCUCUGGGUCAGAUCCACGUUCUGUGGUUCCGGUCCAGUUCCUCAGAGCAGAGUGUCCUUUUCAGUUGAAGACAUAGAGGCAUUUGUCUGAGAAGG
This is a small nucleolar RNA of Lampris incognitus (smalleye Pacific opah), 151 nucleotides long. The record is from RefSeq and is a predicted model, not a curated record. NCBI's taxonomy places the organism in Eukaryota, Metazoa, Chordata, Actinopteri, Lampriformes, Lampridae.